This 320-nucleotide unclassified non-coding RNA is filed under the name plant metagenome. RNAcentral describes it as "partial contains 5.8S ribosomal RNA, internal transcribed spacer 2, and large subunit ribosomal RNA". The stretch from base 1 to 105 matches the Rfam family "5.8S ribosomal RNA", at positions 50 to 154 of the family's 154-position model. The record is from RNAcentral.
GAAAUGCGAUAAGUAAUGUGAAUUGCAGAAUUCAGUGAAUCAUCGAAUCUUUGAACGCACAUUGCGCCCGCCAGUAUUCUGGCGGGCAUGCCUGUUCGAGCGUCAUUACAACCCUCAGGCCCCCGGGCCUGGCGUUGGGGAUCGGCGGAAGCCCCCUGUGGGCACAACGCCGUCCCCCAAAUACAGUGGCGGUCCCGCCGCAGCUUCCAUUGCGUAGUAGCUAACACCUCGCAACUGGAGAGCGGCGCGGCCACGCCGUAAAACACCCAACUUCUGAAUGUUGACCUCGAAUCAGGUAGGAAUACCCGCUGAACUUAAGC